GUUGGACUGGUACUUCCCACACCGUAAAAUCCAUGCUACAGACGCAGAAUCAUUUUAUCUAUAUAUUAUAGGAAUCCAAUUGGAAAGUCUGAAAGUGCCUGACGACCCGUUUAAAGGAUCCAACGUUACUUUAAUUUGUAGAACUACCUACAUACCUUUUUUCUUUGCCUCUCCCCACCUGGUCCUAUCAGAUAAACACAAACGGAGAAAUGCGAAAAUUUAACGAGUCUUAUCUACCUCAAGGUUUGGCGGAACUGUUUCAAUAGAAAUAAGUUGCAACUGUUUGACUUAAAUCUAACUUCUCCAUACACAUACUUACUAUGCAACAGAGAUAACGAAUCAAAAGAGAUUUCAAUUACAAUAAAAGAAAUCACUUAUGAACCAUUGAAUAAUACUGUGAAGUUAGAAAAAAGAAUUGCACACAACUUGACUUGUAACCGAUUAUCAAAAAAUGUUGUCAUACAAUGGCUCAAAGAUGGCAAGGGAUAUUAUGACAUAGUCUACGAGAAUAAUACCGUAUCCGUUUUCCAACUACAAGGAAAUUCUAACGAAAAGGGAACAUACGAAUAUCGAUGGAACAACAGCCGAGAAAAAGGUGGAAAGAGAACUUGAAAAAAUGCUGAAUGGAGAUCCAAAUAGAAUGGACCCAGGAGUGCCAGUGGAAUACCACACGGAAUUCCUGGCCUACAAAAAGAAAUGGGAAUUUCCAAGGAAAAGACUAAUGCUCGGUCAAGAACUCUGUACCGGUUGCUUUGGUCGAGUUGUCAGAGCAGAGGCCGUGGGCAUCAAAAAUUAUGACACAACUGUCACAACAAGAGCAGUUAAAAUGAUUAAAUCACAAAAAAUUUUCACAGCGCAUUUGACGCUCUUAUAAGAGAAUUAAAAAUUCUAAUUUAUUUAGGACCGCACUUAAAUGUUGUCAAUUUAUUGGGCGCUUGCACUAAAACUAACCUCAAAGAAGAAGUUCUGGUUAUAAUUGAUUUCUGCCGAUUCGGUAACUUACAGUCGUACUUAAUUAAAAAUAGGGACAAUUUCAUCAACCAAUGAACUGUAAUUACCAAUAUUAAACCUGACAGCAUAAUGGUGAAAAUCGCAACAUCCGCAAAUCAAUCAGAUGCAAAUGAAUUAGCGAAAGACUAUCGAGACGGAGAAACGAACUUAACCCUCAAAGUUUCGGAAUUUUCUAGGCACGCAAAUAAGCCAAGCCAGCACUGGAUACUAACAAUAUGACAUUACCAGAACAGACCUGUAAAAACGGAGAAGAUUCUGACGAAACUUUGAAUCAAAUGACAAAAACGACCGAUUUGAUCUCAUGGUCAUUACAAAUUGCCCGUGGGAUCGACUUCUUGGCCAGUAAAAAGGUUCUUCACGGGGAUUUGGCCGCUCGCAAUGUCCUUUUAGCAGAUCAUGGAGUCCUCAAAGUUUCUGAUUUCGGAAUGGCGAGACGAAUUAAAGAAUACGAUUACCAGAAAAAGGAGACGAGCUAUUGCCAGUCAAGUGGAUGGCCAUCGAAUCCCUAACGGAUAAAAUUUUUUCAAGCCAAUCGGAUGUCUGGUCCUAUGGGAUUGUUUUGUGGGAAAUAUUUUCCCUUGGUAAAGUUCCAUAUCCAGGAAUGGAGAGUGGUUGGGCACUUGUGAGAGAAAUUAUAAACGGACACCGAAUGAGAAAUCCGGAAUUUUUUACCAAAUUCUUGAGAGAAAUUAUAACAAAAUGUUGGCAAACAGAUCCAAAAGAAAGACCCACCUUGUUAAAACUGACACAAAUUUUUGAAAAAUUCAUGGAAUCACUUGUCAGCUUUGAUUAUUUGAAUAUGAAUAGCUCAGCAAGUGAAAAUAUUCAAUAAGAGUAGAGGAGAGCUGGAUUGAACCGGACACGGGUUUGGCCGGACAAAUUG
This 1894-nucleotide unclassified non-coding RNA is filed under the name Daphnia pulex (common water flea). Its description in RNAcentral is "uncharacterized LOC124208942, transcript variant X3". Lineage: Eukaryota; Metazoa; Arthropoda; Branchiopoda; Diplostraca; Daphniidae. The record is from RNAcentral.